Molecule: non-coding RNA, 940 nt
Organism: Macaca mulatta (Rhesus monkey)
Lineage: Eukaryota; Metazoa; Chordata; Mammalia; Primates; Cercopithecidae
Source: RefSeq, a predicted model, not a curated record
GGGGGAUAGAGCGGGACUCCAUCUCAAAAAAAAAAAAAAAAAGUUAUUGCUUUCAUAUUGUUAUUGUCCCUUGGAAUCUUUGCUAUCAGUGUACUGUGUACUUCCUGCCUACCUCUGAGUUUGUAAAGUAGGUAAAAGAGCAGAUGUCAUUGCUAAGAAUAUAGCAUUGACCUCUAUGUAAAAUUUAUAGGUUCUCACACAGAGUGCUGAGGCUUUUGAUCAGCAUCUUUGAAAGUAUUGCUUGCAUACACUUCAAGUAAAAGAUCAUUCUAAUUAUUUCAUAGUCAUACAUUACAUGAAAGAUCUUUGUACAUAAUUGGAAAAUCUUUAAUAAGCUUUGAUUAAUGAUGCUGGCUUUAAUUUGAACUUCAUAUUAUUGUUUUCCAAAUGAUUUCCAUAAUAGAGAACAUGGUGGAUCUAAGCACGAGAUUUUAAGUUCCUGCCUUUCAAAGGUGUGGCUAAAAAGGAGGAGGAUAGAAAACACUGUGUGCCCUCAUGCCAAGCUCUCCGUGUAGGGACAUUAUCUUCACCAUUGCAUUUCAUCUUCAAAACAGCCCUGCAAGUUGUUGCAACAACGCCACUGAGCUGACUCACCACCCCAGGAGUCCGUGAAGGCUUCCCCGAGGAAGCAGUGUUUGAGCUGAGCCUUGAAAAAGAAGUAAGAAGACUCCAGGUAAAUGAGAAUAGCAAGUGCAUUUCAGGCAAAGGAAAGGAAGUGUGAACAAGCAGGUGUGCACUGUGAACAAGCAAGUGUGAACAAUGACUGUCCAGGGCAAAAAGCAUGCAUUUUACCAGGCUGGCAGGAGACCCAGUAUUACAAGUAGGAGAUGCCAAAGGACCACCAAUAUUGGACCUGCUCGCCAUACAACUGUAGAAACGGAAAUGCCUGAUCUCCAAAUUCUCAUUAAUCAGAGAAAAUAAAAAUGUGGUAAUGAAAUAA